CAGGGUGGGAUAAGGCGGUGCGGAUGAGGUGCGGAUCUCGCAGCCGCUUCCUGCUAUUGAGGCUACACCCCUGUCGCAGAGAGGGCGGCCUUAGGAACCGCCCUAGCUGAGGUGGACGGCCGGCUGUCAGUAUCACAAGGCUGGGCUCUCUUGAGGGGGCAAAACGGGGUGCCGGCCGUUGGCAUCGCAUCAAAACGUGUUCGGGUGCGACACAGCGGUGGUAGAGGGCUACAGUGUGACCUACCAAAAGUGAUCGUUUGGUAACGACGUGGCCCAUUUCGGACUUCCAAAAUGGUUACCAAGCCGUGGUCGCACCUCAGGACGCAGAGCUGGCUCUGGCCUGAGCAGAGCCCCGGGCACGGAGGGGAAGCAGUAAUAACGAUAGAAAUGCCUGCAAUGCGGUGGUGUCCCAGAAGAGCCGUGUUUUCAGUCGCUUUAUAUAACCGGAUGGAAAAAUCCUUUCCCUGAUCUCAGCCAUUUCAUUACCUCUGUUUACCCGGAAUCGGAGCUCCCUGCAUCGAGAAAGCUCUCAGUCACAUUUUCCAGAGUUGUGUAUCUGGAGGGAUGAGUAACUGCUGCACACUGAGUCACGGCGAGGGAGGGAGCGGUGGGAAAGGCAGCCAGGGCACUGCUGAGUGACUGCCGUGCUGCCGUGCUCAUCCCCCGGCUCCUGAUGCGAUCUGCACCUUGCCGUUCAGCUCAGUUCCUCACUGACAGCUUUUAAUUAAGCUUACGGCAAUGUCUGGGGCGUACGGUGGCUGUAAAACCUGAUGGUGACCCAGCUGGGCUGAAGUCUGCUGUGACUGAAUGCAGCUGAGUUAUGCUUAUGAUUAAGCUGCAAGAUAGGCUUAUUAGAUAAACUUCCGGUAUCAGCCUGUUACCCAAGUAUGUGAGGCAUGUUUGAGUUUAAUUACAUGCGAUUGCAGUCCAGCUGAUUCCAGUUGUGCCUUUCUGCUCACUGGAGGACUGCAGGAAAACACAGAGCGAAGCAGGGCUGAGCCUCCAGGCAGGGCUUUUACUUUGAACCCCUGAGGCUGUUGGGCAUUUCUCAGGCCCGAGAAAAGCUUGGCUAUUAGGAGAGAGCGUUCAGCACGCUGCUGCAAAGCAAAGCAAAACCAACUCUUAUCUGCCCACUUCAUGCUGAGGAAGAGAAGUAAAGCAUAAGGCAGCCUUUUAUAUCAGAAGUGCUCAGGCCCGAUGAGGAAUGAGAGCUGAGAACCAGGGGGGAAAAACACUGAAUAGGUGGCAGCAGAAAUUCACACAUGGAUGUGACGGUGGGCCCAGCUGCUGAGAAGAAGGGAUGCGGUGAAAAGCCGCUGAAUCUCUAUAUGGGGAAGGAGGAACCCAGGAGAAAAUCAGGCUGUUUCAGCUGCACUUUCUAGUGUGGGAGCUGAGAUAGAUGGGAGGAAGCAAGCAUGAUAGUGAAUGCAAACCCUGCUGCGGGCUGUUAAAACAGCCUCUGAGUCGUGUCUUGAA
This 1476-nucleotide long non-coding RNA is filed under the name Gallus gallus (chicken). Lineage: Eukaryota; Metazoa; Chordata; Aves; Galliformes; Phasianidae. The record is from RNAcentral.